Molecule: long non-coding RNA, 972 nt
Organism: Gasterosteus aculeatus aculeatus (three-spined stickleback)
Lineage: Eukaryota; Metazoa; Chordata; Actinopteri; Perciformes; Gasterosteidae
Source: Ensembl
UCAUCAGCACUAGUGUAUAAAGCUUCAGGAAGAACUGGUGAGGAGCUGAUCAUUUGUAUCUGGGAGAACUUAAACAUCAACAAACACACACAAGCCUUUGUAAAGAUGCUCUAACUUAUACUAUUGUUUAUUUAAUCCGAGGAAGAGACUCAAACCUUAAAAUGGCCCUUAAUCCAUUCCAGGGAGGUUUGUGCUGCCUCAGCACAGGAGAGCCCGCCCCUCAAAGAGGAGUGUUUGGAAAAGUACCAGAGACGACGUGGGGGAGACACCGUCACCCUCCCUUAAUGGAGCCAGUCAAUCAACAACAUUUAAAAGUCAAAGAGCUCCGACGGCUGGGACGAUUCAGCUACCUUUCAGACUACCCUGGCAACGUGUUUUUUCCACAGCACAUAGAAACAAAUCUAGCCAUUUAAAAAUAUAUAUUUGGCACCUUUGAGCAACUUUUGUAAAGUGACUCGAAUGCUAAAUUGCACCCAUUUUCCCUUCAAAUGACACAAACACAAUAUGUGCUUGGCUGCAAAAGUGCAUUGUGCGUGACUUGAACAGCAGGCGCUCAGCUCGUGCACAACAGCCUGGAGACAGCUGGAAAGAGAUGCCUAGUGCACACAUCAUCAUCAUUAUUUGAGUUAAGUUGCUUGUUGAAUAAAAUAGCAUAUAUCUUAUUAGCGUGUGCCUAUAAUUGUUGAUCAGUUUGGUAUCAUGUUGACGAACUACCAAUAGACUACCAAUAAUACUAUAAUUGUUAAAAAUGUGUAGGUUUACUAGUUGAUAAGAAAAUAAAUGUUUAUUUUAUGCCGAGAUGGAGAUGGAAAAAUUAGUAAUAAUGAUAUUAUAUUUGUGUGUAUAUAUGACAAAACCUCAACACAAAGUGUUGUCUUGUCAUGUCUUGAGUCCUUAUGACUUUCUACACUUAUACAACAUAUACUAAUAACGUUGUAGAGACCCUGUUUGCUUCUCAAAGUUAGGUCCUCC